Xenopus tropicalis (tropical clawed frog) is the source of this 739-nucleotide long non-coding RNA. RefSeq lists it as uncharacterized. The transcript is spliced from 2 exons. The record is from RefSeq and is a predicted model, not a curated record. NCBI's taxonomy places the organism in Eukaryota, Metazoa, Chordata, Amphibia, Anura, Pipidae.
UGGAUUCUGAAGUCCUUCUGCCUUCUGUAGUGGGUGGUACGCAGGAUCUCUGGAAGGCAGAGGGAGAAUCCAGGAGGGGUGGCUCACUCUGUGAAUAUAAGAGAAGGCUGAACUGGUCUCUGCAGCACUGGCAGGCAUCUGUGGGAGUGGUAUGUUCCUAAAACAAUAUCCCUGCGUGGAAGAGACGAUUACCUAAAAACUCGACACUGAAAAUCGUAAAUUAAAUGGAAGACAUUAAUCUACAUCCCUACGUCUGGGAGAAUUGGAGCUGGAGCUGCCAUACAUCCACGAGUCGAAUUCUAAGAUGUUACAUCAGGGGGAAAAAAUCUCUCUCUUUCUGUUCUAUUCAGUUAGUGUUGCUAUAAAGGCUGGGCACUCCCUGUUCUACCCAGAGCCCUGUAAACAAUGAAAGGGUUAAGCAAGCCAAGCUCCAGUCUUAUAAUUAAGGAACUCAUUUUAGGGAGGUCAAUAGGUGGGAAAACAUUUAGGCAGAUCUGGCUCAGGGGUCGUGCUUAACAGGGUGCGUAUAUAUUAAAGGUCCCCUGGCAAAAGCCCCCAGUCUGAAAGAUUUGCCUGGGACUUUCUCUCCCUGCCAAAUUCCUAUAAUCCACUGUUAUUCAGAGCCCCUUCCCCAUACAAACUGUAUUCUGUUACCGGAUAAUUCAAUCUGAGCUUUGCACUCUACACAUUAGCUCUCAAUGUGAUUUUUUUCCUAAAAUAAAUAAUAUUGUUUUAGUAA